RNAcentral lists this ribosomal RNA (488 nucleotides) under uncultured Lachnospiraceae bacterium. RNAcentral describes it as "partial 16S ribosomal RNA". Lineage: Bacteria; Bacillati; Bacillota; Clostridia; Lachnospirales; Lachnospiraceae. The record is from RNAcentral.
CGCGUAGUUAGCCGGGGCUUCUUAGUCAGGUACCGUCAUUUUCUUUCCUGCUGAUAGAGCUUUACAUACCGAAAUACUUCUUCACUCACGCGGCGUCGCUGCAUCAGGGUUUCCCCCAUUGUGCAAUAUUCCCCACUGCUGCCUCCCGUAGGAGUUUGGGCCGUGUCUCAGUCCCAAUGUGGCCGUUCACCCUCUCAGGCCGGCUACUGAUCGUCGCCUUGGUGGGCCUCUACCCCGCCAACAAGCUAAUCAGACGCGGGUCCAUCGUAUACCACCGGAGUUUUUCACACCGGACCAUGCGAUCCUGUGCGCUUAUGCGGUUUUAGCACCUAUUUCUAAGUGUUAUCCCCCUGUAUACGGCAGGUUACCCACGCGUUACUCACCCGUCCGCCACUAACAGAUAAAUCACUAGGUUUCAUUACCUGUCCGUUCGACUUGCAUGUGUUAAGCACGCCGCCAGCGUUCAUCCUGAGCCAGGAUCAAACUCU